GCCCCCGUAGCUCAGAGGACAGAGCACCGGACUUCUAAUCCGACGGUCGCAGGUUCGAAUCCUGCCGGGGGCG
Molecule: transfer RNA, 73 nt
Filed under: Actinobacteria bacterium SCGC AG-212-D09
Lineage: Bacteria; Bacillati; Actinomycetota
Also listed under: 1 other name
Rfam family: tRNA
About the family: Transfer RNA (tRNA) molecules are approximately 80 nucleotides in length. Their secondary structure includes four short double-helical elements and three loops (D, anti-codon, and T loops).
Source: Rfam by way of RNAcentral